Molecule: RNA transcript, 1048 nt
Organism: Fragaria vesca subsp. vesca
Lineage: Eukaryota; Viridiplantae; Streptophyta; Magnoliopsida; Rosales; Rosaceae
Exons: 2
Source: RefSeq, a predicted model, not a curated record
AGGGCAGUUGUGUAAAUUCUAGUCAUCACGGUAACUGGCUGAUUUCACUGUUGUACUGAGGGAUAGAAAAGAGACUUGGCCCGAUAUCAAUUCAGCGUCUCAAGCCUUCGUCAACUAUUUCGAUACAGUUCGAAGUUAUAGUCUGGAUCUAGAAUCCGAUAACGCAGAGAUAUUGCAUACGUUACUCGUUGUCGAGAGAGAAGAGUCGAAUCAUUUCGAAAGUAUUCGAAGAUAAUGACGAAGCUCAUUGCGGGGAGGGCAGAGUCGAAUCUAAUCUGGUAGCCAUCGCCGGAAACCCAAUACAGUCCGCUUCAGGUUCAUUCUCUUUCUAAUUAUUAGAAUUGCGCCACUGAUCGCCCGCCCUUAUCGUCCCAUUCCUCAUCAACGGUUUACCUGUGGAAUACUAAACUGCUGCGUGCGUAUAUGUUCGAAUUGGCAGUAGGUAGACUGAACUGAUGAGGAAUGUUUCAGCCGAAUAAGAAGAUUGCAUUGUCGAUGAUGUUGGACUCUGCUGCAGAUAUCAUGCUAUAUGCACCUUGUGGGAUCUUAUUGAUAAUGCUUCAGUCUAUCCCAUAUUGUAGAACAUUAAGCAAUUACUCUAAAGGUCAAGUGAAAGGUAUAUAUAUACUCCCUUGGAAAUCAAAAAUGGUUACACUUACAUGGAUCUGUUAUUAGACUAUGCUCCUUCACUUUGGGUGCAUAUGCAUAUUCCCAACUAUCUGAAUUUGAGGACCCCAUAACUAAUCAUUCGAUUAACUUGCUUCCCUAAGGAAAAAGGUUAGGUAGUGAAAAAAGGUAUAGAUUAUAUAUAGGUACCCAACUAUCUGAAUGUGAGGACCCCAUAACUAAUCCUUCAGUUAACUUGCUUCCCUAAGGAAAUAGGUUAGGUAGUGAAAAAGGGUAUAGAUUAUAGGUACCAGCAGUGCUCCAAGAGAGUUUCAGCACCUGCAAAUGAAUAAUGAAUUUGAUCUUCUCUCUCAACACUGGUGCCGGCUUGGCUCUCUACAUCGUCUCAUCAUCAUUCCCUUCAUCGGUAACCUUCUUCAUU